CGUUGAUCUCUGGAAUAAUAUUAAAGAAAAUUCAAAUGAGAAAGACCCUCUCCAAACGUCUGAAGGGAGCAAUCCCAAGCAGGGAACAGCAGCGGCCCAAAGGCCUGGCCUAACCCGCUCGAUAGCAGGAAAGACCUGGCAAAGUAGAGGGGGAGGCUGGGCCACCGACCAGCGCCGAAGCUAAACGGUUCACGUACGCUGAAAAGAGGAGUUCAGGGCACAUACCCUGUCGGCAGUACGCGAGCACAGAAGCCCGCCCUUCAGAGGACUGGUUUAAGAAGGUAAAGUGGGCCUCGGAAGUGCUUCCGAACUUUAAUAUGGAAACUCACAGACCGCCCCAGCAACCCAAAAGGCAGCUGCAAAGCGAUCCAGGAUACUUCCAAAUGUGUCCAUUCGCGCUUAUUGCCAAGGAGAGGACGCUGAUAGGCGUCGUCGACAAAGGCAGCUCGGGUGGAAGAAUCCCGAGGAGCCAGUGCUUCGAGCUCCUGGACAAGGACCCCGGCCCACCUCCAGUCUGCAAAGACAUGGGAUGGUUCCAGGGCAAGACCAAAAGUUCGGGUUCAGCUCCGUCACCAUAAAGGUGUACAAGUCGGACGCAGUCGGACAACCCAGUCGAGCAGGAUGUUGCCUCGGAGAUGGAGCCACCCGAGUUGGCCCACGAAGGUGACUCCCUAGAGUCGGAGCUGAUGCUGGAGUUCGAGGCAAUGUGCCGGAACGGAAGUUCCGGCGAGUCGGACGCCGACAAUACAGUGGUGGAGAUAGGCAAGGAUCCCUCUGAGGCUGCAAAGUAGUGGACAAGAUCGUACGGAUUAGGUGUAAAUGCCUCGAAAACGGAACUUGUACUAUUCACUAACAAAUACAAAACUCCGCCACUCAACCCCCCAACACUAAACAAAUGUGGGUUAACCUUUAGCGACAUUGCACUGAAAUCACUAAACGCGAUUUCGUCGAAUUCGACCACAGUGGCAAAUUGUCGCAAAUCUCUACAACCAGGACAUUGAAGGCAACUGCAUGGCAGACGAGUUGGCCAGAUCCGGCACUACACUCCCCUUUAAUCAAGAUAAGGAGGAAAUACGGAUGCCAAUGGCCACUUGCAAGCUCAAAAUAAAAGAGUACUAUACCCUGCAAACAAACAGCAGCUGGCAAAUGGUCACGGGAUGUCGCAUCACCCGACAAACGUGUCCAGACUUCUCGAAAAAGAGCACCGUUAAACUAUGCAAACUUAGCACACACAGGUGCAGCGUAGUCAUUCGCUCUCUUACAGGGCAUUGACAACUCAUAUAGACUGCAAAUCGAG
RNAcentral lists this long non-coding RNA (1297 nucleotides) under Drosophila guanche. Lineage: Eukaryota; Metazoa; Arthropoda; Insecta; Diptera; Drosophilidae. The record is from RNAcentral.